This 492-nucleotide ribosomal RNA is filed under the name uncultured bacterium. RNAcentral describes it as "partial 16S ribosomal RNA". It matches the Rfam family "Bacterial small subunit ribosomal RNA", at positions 29 to 507 of the family's 1533-position model. The record is from RNAcentral.
AGUGAACGCUGGCGGUAGGCCUAACACAUGCAAGUCGAACGGCAGCACAGUAAGAGCUUGCUCUUACGGGUGGCGACUGGCGGACGGGGCAGGAAUACAUCGGAAUCUACUUUUUCGUGGGUGAUAACGUAGGGAAACUUACGCUAAUACCGCAUACGACCUACGGGUGAAAGCAUGGGAUCUUCGGACCUUGCGCGAUUGAAUGAGCCGAUGUCGGAUUAGCUAGUUGGCGGGGUAAAGGCCCACCAAGGCGACGAUCCGUAGCUGGUCUGAGAGGAUGAUCAGCCACACUGGAACUGAGACACGGUCCAGACUCCUACGGGAGGCAGCAGUGGGGAAUAUUGGACAAUGGGCGCAAGCCUGAUCCAGCCAUACCGCGUGGGUGAAGAAGGCCUUCGGGUUGUAAAGCCCUUUUGUUGGGAAAGAAAAGCAGCAGGUUAAUACCCCGCUGUUCUGACGGUACCCAAAGAAUAAGCACCGGCUAACUUCGUG